GCGCGCGUCAGCCUCGUCGCGGCAUUCGAUCCCGAAACAUCGUUGCUCCCGACCAUGAGACAGUCGGGUGCCGGUUACGGGACGUCGCCUCCACCGUCACCUUCGACGUCCCCACCGUCUUUGUUGCCAUCGUCGUCGUCGUCGUCGUCGUCGUCGUCGUCCUUGUCGUCGUCGUCGUCGUCGUCGUCGUCGUCGUCGUUAUUGUUGUCGUCCUCGUCGUCGUCGUCGUCGUCGUUGACAUCUUCGUCAUCGUCGUCCUCGUCGUCACCUUGGUCGUCGUUCUCCUUCUCGUGGCGUUCGUCGACGUGCCACGAAAAAAACGAUUACAAGACGCUCGUUUUCGUUCUUAAAUCAUCGUAAUCGUAAAAUCAAGAGAUUUUAAGGAUCGUUCCUUUCCCCAACCCACUUUCACCGAACAUCCUCCACUCCCCACCCUUCCCAUCCUAAGAAAUCUUUCUUCUUUUUCAUCAUCUUCUUCUUCUUCUUCUUCUUCUUUUUCUUCUUUUUCUUCUUCUUCUUCUUCUUCUUCUUCCCGUUUUCUUUCGUCGAUUCCUCAUAUCUUUUAUCUUCAUCUUCUUAUUAUAAUUUCUUAUAAAUCUUCUACAUCUUCUGUUUCUUCAUUCUCUUUUUCUUCUUCUUCUACUUCUUUUUCUUCUUUUUUUUUUCUUCUUCUUAUUAUCCUCAUUUUAUCCACUUUUAAAGAUCUUUUUAAAGUCUUCUUCCUUUCAACGAUUAUCUUCAAAGUGAGGGAACGAACGAACGAACGAACGAACGAACGAACGAACGAACGCACGCACGCCGGGGGAUACAGGAUAGAGAUAAGAGAGCAAGAAGGAGAGAGAAAUAAAGACGAGUCGUAUCAGUACACAGGACAAUCUGGUUUCUUAAGGUAACAGUGUUGGAAAGACUACAGGAGAAAUCGUAAGAAAAUUUUCUUUUUCUUUUUUUUUUUUUUUACGAUCUCACAAUCGUAUACAAGGUAUUCAGGACAAUCAUUAAUCUGAGAAUCAUCGAACGAAAGAGAACUUUUUACAUCUACCUCGAUCAUGCUCAGCCCAAAGAUGCAAAGAACUGUGAGGGUAAACGACUCUCAGCUAGUGAUGCUCUCGGAGAGAGCCCAUUACGAUAAUUCGUUGAACGGAUAUUUACACAAACGGACCGCUGAUUCUGCCAAGUGGCAAUUACGAUGGUUCGUCUUGUAUCAGAAUCUACUAUUCUAUUACGAAAACGAUACCUGCUCACGGCCAAGCGGUGUCGUUUUGCUAGAGGGCUGCUAUUGCGAUCGUCUUAUCACCGCUAAAGGGAAAGAACCUGAUAAACAACACUGCUUCGCGAUAUCAUACAGAAGGGAGAAUCAGCGACAAUACGAGUUGAAAGCUGCCACAGAAACGGACUGCAAAACGUGGAUCGAUGCGAUACGAGAAGCCAGCUUCAACAAAUUGCUCUUGCAAAAGGAGGAGCUAGAGCAAAAGCAUCUGCACCUGUUGCAGAUCGUUGAAAGUGAGAAAACGGCUAAGUGGCAGUAUACACAACAAUGCGAGGAGCUUGCAUCGGAAAUAAAAAAGCUUCGGGCUGAGUUAUGCGCUCUGAAAAAAGAACUGAGGCCAUCGGUCGCACCAGCAUUUCCAAUUCGUCCUGGUGUUCAAAGGACCUUGUCCCAAGGAACAGGAAGUUUAAUAAGCGGCACGGGAUAUCAUGCUACAUACGGAAUUCAUGGUUCACUCGUAUCUUGUUCUGUUGGUUUACAUGGUAUCACCGAGGGUUCCAUCGAAAUGCAGAAAAUUAAAAAGGUCCAAAGCUUUUUCCGCGGCUGGCUUUGCCGUAGACGUUGGAAACAAAUCGUCGAACAAUACAUCAAGAGCCCGCAUGCAGAGAGUAUGCGGAAACGGAACAGUCUGGUGUUUCAAAUGGUUGAGGCAGAAGAGGAAUACACGGAACAAAUGGAGAUAUUGGUUAGCUGUUUCCUGAGGCCUUUCAAAAUGGCUGCCAGUUCGAAGAAACCCCCAUGUAGUCACGAAGACGUGAAUAGUAUAUUUUUGAAUAGCGAAACAGUACUGUUCCUUCAUCAGAUCUUCCUGAAGGGUCUUACUUCUCGUAUGGAGAGCUGGCCCACUUUAGUUUUAGGUGACUUGUUCGACAUACUACUACCAAUGUUGUCAAUUUAUCAAGAAUACGUGCGCAACCACCAUUACAGCCUUCAAGUGUUGACCGAGUGCAAGCAAUCAUCGACCCCUUUUGUUGCAUUGCUCAAUAGAUUGGAGAAUAAGACUGCCUGUCAUGGACGAUCCCUUGAAACAUUUCUAACAUAUCCAAUGCAUCAGGUACCCAGAUAUAUAAUCACUUUGCACGAGCUUCUUGCGCAUACACCGCACGAUCACGUUGAACGAAAGAGCUUGCAGAACGCUAGGCAACAGCUGGAGGAUCUGUCACGGCAAAUGCAUGACGAGGUGAGCGAGACAGAAAAUUUGAGAAAAAAUUUGGCAGUCGAGAGAAUGAUCGUCGAGGGUUGUGACAUACUUUUGGAUGUUAAUCAAGUAUUCGUCAGGCAAGGUUCGCUCGUACAAAUUCUAGAUAAACCACGAGGAGCACGUAGCAGAUUGAGUGCAACAUUUGGUAGUAAAAGUUCGACCGAUAAGGAAGCUGUCAGACAGUGUUUCCUAUUUUCGAAUCAUUUGUUGCUUACUACGAGACAAUCAGACGACGAUGGCCGUUUGAAUUUAAUACCUCAAAUCGGCAAGAUACCAUUAUCGGAUGCUGUUCUAAUAGAGGAUCCCUCUGAUCAAGGUGUUACGGACGAUGACGAACUUUCAGUAUGCUCGAUGUCCAGCGGUAUCAGUGAAAGUAGCGGAAGUGGUACUGGCAAUACUAGUUCGCAACUUCAAAACCGUGACUUCAAGAUUGUACUUGAUGUGAAGUCAGGAGGUCCACAGGUUACCGUACAUCUGGUAGCACCAACUAUGCAGGAGAAGGCAGCUUGGAUAAGCGAUAUAAGUCAAUGCAUGGACAACGUACACUUCAACGAUUUAUUACAUAGCUCGUUGUCGGACACCAGUUCCGUCACGAUGCCGCAAUCGAUUAGGAACGAUCCUAAGUUAUUCAAGGACGACGUUGACAUUAGGUUCAGUCGUACAUUGAACUCAUGUAAAAUUCCACAAAUACGUUCGGCCACUCCUGAACGUCUACUUCAAAGGCUAACAGACUUACGAUUUCUUAGUAUUGAUUUCCUCAAUACAUUUUUGUUGACCUAUCGUGUAUUCACCGAUGGUGUUACGGUGUUGGAAGCAUUAAAGAAAGUGUUUUACGAGACUGAACCACCCGAUGCUCAAAUGCCUAGCGGCUCUCUCGCAUCGUUAGAUGUUUUGGGAAGUAACACGGGCGAGGGUCAAACUAACACGGAGGAACGAAGACGAAGCAGCUUUUCUCCUAGAAGAACGAGCGGUGCUAGUUCUGUCUCAGGAUACGAAUCAGAAAUUAGCGACCGUGAUGCUAAGGGACAUUACAUGUACGAGUUUAACACUGGUGCACAUAUGUUAAAUUCGAAGGCUCAUCGGCGUUGUCACAAAAGAUUGGAAGAGGAGCAACAACUAGGAUUGAUAACAGAGGCACCAUCGAUCAUGAAACGUAGUCCUACAUUGCAAUCGUCGAAUCCGUCCGUGGCUUCUCAAUCUCCGGCAACCUCACGAAAAAUCAACAUCCGCGUGGACAAUGAUACAGAAAGUGAUGGAUGCCAUCUCACGAUUCCAAAAGUUAUAGCCGUAUCAUCGAGUUCAGAAACGCUUACGGAUGCGACAGUGAUAAGCGCACCUUCUUCGCCGAGCAAUUUAAGCUCGGUUACGCUGAUUGGAUCGACGGGUUCUGGAUCUGGAUCUGAUCCUAGUCCUCAAGAGGGAGGCACAAUUUCUAGAGGUAUUUCAGAGGAAAUAGAUACGCCUGUAGCUACAGGAUCAGCUUCAAAGGAUGAAGUACAAUUUACGUAUGCCGAUCAACCGCUGGUGUCAGAUAAGUCAAUGGAUUCUUCUGAGAGCGCAGAGAAAACACCUACUACACCUAUUACACCAUCAACACCACGAAUAAAAGAUCACGAGAUUGAAAAAGAAAGAAAGGAAUGUACUGACGAUGAGAAGGCAUCAUCGACAAUUGUUCAGACUCAACAUACCUCUAAUCAAACUCAGUAUCAACAUCAGUAUCAGCAUCAACAUCAACAUCAGCAACAAUAUCAACAUCAUCAUCAACAUCAUAUGGAACAUAGAGCUUCCGUAGCUUCAGCGCCAGUUACUGGAAUGAGAAGUGGCUCGAUUUCGACCGUAGCGGGAAAUUAUUGGGCCAGUAGACGAUCGUUUCAAGAGAAUGAAUUAUCUUCAUCGCAAGGAAACUUUCAGCAUGAUCAACAGGUAUCCAGUAAAGCCGGCGUGGUAGUGACCAGUUUCCGACAAAGUCAUCGAAGCAUCGGACCCCAACCUAUUUGGAGCAGUACAUCAACGGCAGCAACUGCCUUCGCUAUAGCAACUUCAGCGUCGAGUAAUCCACCAGACAAAGUACCUGGUAGAUGCAGUGUUAGCGAUGGAAAUCAUCGAACUGGUUCAUGCCGUGAUAAAAAUAGAAGAAAGGAAUCGGUUAUGUCAACGGCAGCUACAAUGCGUGUACUCAACGUUCUUCGACAUUGGGUUUCAAAGCACGCGCAAGAUUUUGAAUUGGAUCAGAAAUUGAAAAACUUGACCAUAGAAUUCCUCGAGGAUAUCAUAUAUAGUCCUAAUCUUUUGCCGGCCGAACACAAAGCUGCUAGUCAAUUGUUACGAUUGAUCACCAAAGAGGAACCCGAAAAUAACAAAGUCGAUCUCAAGAAGCUAUUGACUCCACCCACGAUGGCAAGUAAGGAAAGUAUCGAGACUUUAUCAGCUCUAGAAAUUGCCGAACAAAUGACGUAUCUGGAUCAUCAGAUAUUCGUAUCGAUCGCUAGCGAAGAAUUUCUUGGCCAAGCAUGGAUGAAGACGGAUAAAGCGACACGUGCACCGCAUAUUCUAUUAAUGACGAAAAGAUUCAAUGAAGUCUCUCAAUUAGUCGUUUCAGAGAUCAUUCGUCGAACAAAUAUGUCGGGUAGGGUAGCAGCAAUUGAAAAAUGGGCAGCAGUUGCGGAUAUCAGCAGAGUAUUACACAAUUAUAACGGAGUAUUACAAAUUUGUGCUGCAUUUACCAAUACCAGUGUUUAUAGACUGAAAAAAACCUGGGAAAAGGUUUCAAAAACGACUAAACAAACCAUAGAAAAACUUCAAAAUAUUGUCUCCUCCGACGGACGAUUUAGAAAUUUGAGAGACGCAUUACACCGAUGCGAUCCACCUUGUAUUCCAUAUUUAGGACUUUAUCUUACCGAUCUUUCCUUCAUAGAGGAAGGUACACCGAAUUUCACCGAGGAAGGUCUAUUAAAUUUCUCCAAAAUGCGAAUGAUAGCACACGUGAUCCGUGAGAUCAGACAUUUCCAGCAAACACCAUAUAAUAUCGAGCUGAUAACAAAGGUUACGAAUUAUUUAUUGGAUACGUCGUUGCUCCUAAAUGAAAAGGAUCUUUAUCGCAUGUCCUUGGAAAUUGAGCCUCGUACAUCGAGAUUAAGUAAUACGACCUUGAUCAAUUUGCCGCCAUCUGUAAGUCAUGCGUCAAUGAAGUAAAAAGGCCGAUCUCAAGAGGAUAUGGAAAAGAAAUUAUUGAACGUUUCUAUCGAUACGUAAAAACCCUAAAUACAUAUAUAUUUAAUUCUAAGAUCAUCUAAAUGACUACUCGUAAUAUUACAAGCGAAUAGCCCAUUACUUUUGGAGUCUAAAACUCUUGAUAUAAUAAUGAUUAUUAUUAUUAUCGUCAUAAUAAUUAAUACGAUUAAUUUGAGAAUCCUCAACAAUUUAAUGCAACUUUCUAUUGAAGGAGAUAAAAAAAAAAAAGAAAAAAAAAAUACAAACAUGCAAAAAAAAGAAAAGAAAAAGGUAAAAAAAGAAAAAAAGCGUGUAUCUAAUGCGGCCAACGUUUUCUACCAAAUGUAUUUAACGAAACAAAGAAUUGAGUAAUAUUUGCGCUAUUAUUCUAAAGAAACCUAAAAUUAAUCGUAAGAUUAAUUGAUACAGGUAACUCUUACGUUUUACUAUUAGAUAAUUGUUCCUUUUUUUUUUCUCUCUUCUUUCUGUUUCUUCUGUCUUUGUUUUACUUCCUUUCCGUUUGCGCGAGUUUACGCGCGAGUCUGUCGGUCUUCAUUAAAAAAAAAAAAAAAAAAAAAAAAAAAAAAAAAAAAAAAAAAAGAAAAAAAAAAGAAACAGGAAAAAAGAGAACAAAAAUUACCAACAUUAUUUUACUAAUAAUAACAACAACAAACAAUAACAAAAGCAUAAUAUCGUAUUCCGAAUUAUUAAAAGGAAGAAAAAAGAAAAAAAAGAUGAAGAUGAAGAUGAAGAUGAAGAUGAAGAUGAAGAUGAAGA
This is an RNA transcript of Vespa velutina, 6455 nucleotides long. It is a transcript of the gene named ras-specific guanine nucleotide-releasing factor 2-like, with no coding region annotated. The record is from RefSeq and is a predicted model, not a curated record. The transcript has 27 exons. Lineage: Eukaryota; Metazoa; Arthropoda; Insecta; Hymenoptera; Vespidae.